Molecule: long non-coding RNA, 367 nt
Filed under: Jatropha curcas
Lineage: Eukaryota; Viridiplantae; Streptophyta; Magnoliopsida; Malpighiales; Euphorbiaceae
Description: long non-coding RNA (JCUR_LNC002306)
Source: RNAcentral
AAAAUUUGAUUUGGAAAUUCUAACGAAGAACAACAUUAAGAUUGCAAUCCACUGAUCGCCGACCGCCGUGAGCCGCGGGGGUAAGUUCUGCGUCUGGCUCGCCUGGACGCGCGUCGCCUCCUUGCCAGCGCUCUGGCUACAGCCCGGUGAUUCCGCAACGGUGCUGCGUUUUCCGAUCAAAAUAAAAAAAUAUAUAUUUUAAACCUCCGUUUCCAGCGAGAACACCGCUGCUCAAGGCCAGAGAUGGACGGUCCAUGGUUGUUCGACCACCGCUGGACCGUCAUUGCGAACGGUUCUUGAUGUAUGGCGACGAGGGUUUCCGUAGAGACCAAAGGAGAAGAUGAAGCGAAAUUUCAUUUUGGUCCCC